AGAGACGUUGGCCGGGAUAGCUC
Molecule: transfer RNA, 23 nt
Filed under: Dicksonia antarctica
Lineage: Eukaryota; Viridiplantae; Streptophyta; Polypodiopsida; Cyatheales; Dicksoniaceae
Also listed under: 5 other names
Description: partial tRNA-Phe
Source: RNAcentral